CCCAGAGUGAAAGACAGAGGAACCAAUCGAGGCUCGGCUGACCUCAGACGUCUAAGGCGAUAGGCGUUGCUAAGAAAAGGGGGUGGGACGAUACCCAGUUGCCAAGACGACGGCUUCCGGGUGGGCGGCUUGAGGUGGCUUCCGGCCGCCAGGCGAGACUCCGCGGGAAAACUCCCUGCUAGAGAGACUAGGAGAUUUGGGGCUGCGGCCGUUUCCUCCGGAGCACCCACGGGACUGUGUGCUGGGGUCCCUCCACCGGCUGUGUCCUUUAUUCUUCUUUCUCACCCAACGAUUUACCUGAACGGUUAUAAAGUGCACGUUAUUUCCCUAAGCACUUUGAGUAUAUUGGCCCACUGCAUUCUGGACUUCAAAAUUUCUGAUGCGAAAUAUGCUGAUACUUUUGUUGAAGAAAUCUGGGCUUUGAGCAUCUGUAAGAUAUUUGUUGGAAGGUUUUGUCUGGUCCUUCUUACUGAUGUGUUGCUCUUCUUCAUGGCUCGUGAAAACUAUUAGAGUCAUCCAAGGUUUGGAGACAGAAAGGAGCACCGCCAAGUGAGGCAGAGCAGUCUCAGAAACAUAGGAAAAUGGUGGGAAGAGAGAUCAGCAACGUUAACUGGGUGUCAAGAAAACAUACCGAGAUUGAAGCCAUCCACUUCUGCAGGAACACCGAAAAGAAAGCUUACAAUCUGAAGGUGUCCGUUCCUACACUGGUCAGACCACUGUCCUUGGGGCAGCUGGGGUCUUUGGGACCCUCCACCGGGCUCGCCGGUCCGUCGGACUUUUGGCUGAGAUCCGUGUCAGACUCCUCCGAAUAGUCGUCUGUUGGCAUCGAGGGCUGAACCCCUGAGGUGCUGCAUGAACUUGAG
RNAcentral lists this long non-coding RNA (863 nucleotides) under Homo sapiens (human). Its description in RNAcentral is "HSALNT0233308". Lineage: Eukaryota; Metazoa; Chordata; Mammalia; Primates; Hominidae. The record is from RNAcentral.